This 467-nucleotide ribosomal RNA is filed under the name uncultured bacterium. RNAcentral's name for it is "partial 16S ribosomal RNA". It matches the Rfam family "Bacterial small subunit ribosomal RNA", at positions 28 to 507 of the family's 1533-position model. The record is from RNAcentral.
GACGAACGCUGGCGGCGUGCUUAACACAUGCAAGUCGAACGGAAAGGCCUCUUUCGGGGGGUACUCGAGUGGCGAACGGGUGAGUAACACGUGAGUAACCUGCCCUUGACUUUGGGGUAACUUCAGGAAACUGGGGCUAAUACCGGAUAGGAGCUCCUGCUGCAUGGUGGGGGUUGGAAAGUUUCGGCGGUUGGGGAUGGACUCGCGGCUUAUCAGCUUGUUGGUGGGGUAGUGGCUUACCAAGGCUUUGACGGGUAGCCGGCCUGAGAGGGUGACCGGCCACAUUGGGACUGAGAUACGGUCCAGACUCCUACGGGAGGCAGCAGUGGGGAAUAUUGCACAAUGGGUGGAAGCCUGAUGCAGCAACGCCGUGGGCGGGAUGACGGCCUUCGGGUUGUAAACCGCUUUCGCUCAUGACGAAGCUUUGUGUGACGGUAGUGGGUAAAGAAGCACCGGCUAACUACGUG